RNAcentral lists this transfer RNA (67 nucleotides) under Speleketor irwini. RNAcentral describes it as "tRNA-Tyr". It matches the Rfam family "tRNA". From Rfam's summary of the family: Transfer RNA (tRNA) molecules are approximately 80 nucleotides in length. Their secondary structure includes four short double-helical elements and three loops (D, anti-codon, and T loops). Lineage: Eukaryota; Metazoa; Arthropoda; Insecta; Psocodea; Prionoglarididae. The record is from RNAcentral.
GAAAGAAUGGCUGAUAAUAGGUGGUAAAUUGUAAAUUUAUUUAUAAAGUUAAAAUCUUUUUCUUUCA